GCUAAGAAUAUUCCGCAAUGGACGAAAGUCUGACGGAGCGACGCCGCGUGGAUGAAGAAGGCCGAAAGGUUGUAAAGUUCUUUUGUUGGGGAAGAAUAAGCGUGGGAGGGAAUGCCCGCGUGAUGACAUGAACCGGCGAAUAAGCCCCGGCUAACUACGUGCCAGCAGCCGCGGUAACACGUAGGGGGCAAGCGUUGUUCGGAAUUACUGGGCGUAAAGGGCAUGUAGGCGGCCUUGUAAGCUUGUCGUGAAAGUCCACGGCUUAACCGUGGGAUUGCGUUGAGAACUGCGAGGCUUGAGUGACGGAGAGGGAGCUAGAAUUCCUGGUGUAGGGGUGGAAUCUGUAGAUAUCAGGAAGAAUACCAAUGGCGAAGGCAAGCUCCUGGCCGAUGACUGACGCUGAGGUGCGAAAGUGUGGGGAUCAAACAGGAUUAGAAACCCGGGUAGUCC
RNAcentral lists this ribosomal RNA (450 nucleotides) under uncultured bacterium. RNAcentral's name for it is "partial 16S ribosomal RNA". It matches the Rfam family "Bacterial small subunit ribosomal RNA", at positions 354 to 796 of the family's 1533-position model. The record is from RNAcentral.